ACUGCGCUCCGCAUGGGGUGUGGUGGAAAGAUUUUAUCGGUUUUGGAUGGACUCGCGGCCUAUCAGCUUGUUGGUGGGGUAAUGGCCUACCAAGGCGAUGACGGGUAGCCGGCCUGAGAGGGUGACCGGCCACACUGGGACUGAGACACGGCCCAGACUCCUACGGGAGGCAGCAGUGGGGAAUAUUGCACAAUGGGCGCAAGCCUGAUGCAGCGACGCCGCGUGCGGGAUGACGGCCUUCGGGUUGUAAACCGCUUUCAGCAGGGAAGAAGCCUCGGGUUCUCUCGGGGUGACGGUACCUGCAGAAGAAGCGCCGGCUAACUACGUGC
This 329-nucleotide ribosomal RNA is filed under the name uncultured Clostridium sp. Its description in RNAcentral is "bacterial SSU rRNA". It matches the Rfam family "Bacterial small subunit ribosomal RNA", at positions 173 to 508 of the family's 1533-position model. Lineage: Bacteria; Bacillati; Bacillota; Clostridia; Eubacteriales; Clostridiaceae. The record is from RNAcentral.